This 696-nucleotide ribosomal RNA is filed under the name Halomonas chromatireducens. Its description in RNAcentral is "bacterial SSU rRNA". It matches the Rfam family "Bacterial small subunit ribosomal RNA", at positions 62 to 749 of the family's 1533-position model. The record is from RNAcentral. Lineage: Bacteria; Pseudomonadati; Pseudomonadota; Gammaproteobacteria; Oceanospirillales; Halomonadaceae.
UCGAGCGGUAACAGGUCCAGCUUGCUGGAUGCUGACGAGCGGCGGACGGGUGAGUAAUGCAUAGGAAUCUGCCCGGUAGUGGGGGAUAACCUGGGGAAACCCAGGCUAAUACCGCAUACGCCCUACGGGGGAAAGCAGGGGCUCUUCGGACCUUGCGCUAUCGGAUGAGCCUAUGUCGGAUUAGCUAGUUGGUAGGGUAAAGGCCUACCAAGGCGACGAUCCGUAGCUGGUCUGAGAGGAUGAUCAGCCACAUCGGGACUGAGACACGGCCCGAACUCCUACGGGAGGCAGCAGUGGGGAAUAUUGGACAAUGGGGGCAACCCUGAUCCAGCCAUGCCGCGUGUGUGAAGAAGGCCUUCGGGUUGUAAAGCACUUUCAGCGAGGAAGAAGGCCUGGUGGCCAAUACCCACCAGGAAGGACAUCACUCGCAGAAGAAGCACCGGCUAACUCCGUGCCAGCAGCCGCGGUAAUACGGAGGGUGCGAGCGUUAAUCGGAAUUACUGGGCGUAAAGCGCGCGUAGGUGGCUUGAUAAGCCGGUUGUGAAAGCCCUGGGCUCAACCUGGGAACGGCAUCCGGAACUGUCAGGCUAGAGUGCAGGAGAGGAAGGUAGAAUUCCCGGUGUAGCGGUGAAAUGCGUAGAGAUCGGGAGGAAUACCAGUGGCGAAGGCGGCCUUCUGGACUGACACUGACACUGA